Long non-coding RNA from Corapipo altera (White-ruffed manakin), 4618 nucleotides. RefSeq lists it as uncharacterized. The transcript has 2 exons. The record is from RefSeq and is a predicted model, not a curated record. Lineage: Eukaryota; Metazoa; Chordata; Aves; Passeriformes; Pipridae.
AUGAAAGAACGCUGCCUGUAACUUAACCUCUUUGUGUGCGUUUUUACUCUCCUGGCUGAUCCUGGGAGCAGUUUGAGAAGUCUCAGGAACUGCCUGUAAAUGCAUCAGCCUUGGCAAUGCCAGCACGUUUACAGCCAUUGGAAGGGUUUUCCAUGGAAAGGUACCGGGAUAGUCUUCGUCUGCAGAGGUUGUCCGCACCAGCAGAUGAAGUACGUGAAGGUGCGCAAGCAGGAGUAGCUUGGGAAAUGGGAGAGCAAGUCUUUUGGCACAUUUUGGUGAGUGUGUUGCAUUUGGUGUCUCUAGAAAAACCUGCCUCAAAGUUUCCACUGUCUCCUACUGGCUGAAUAAUGGGCAGUCAGGAAAUUUGUUCUCCUGCCCAUGUCUUCAUCUCUGGUUUGAACUCAGACAUGAGUUUCCAGCUGAGGCAACCUCAUCUCCUGCCUCAUCUGCUUGACUUCCUGCAUAUGAUUUGAGGAAAUUGAUUAUCCUUGAGCAUCAACCAGCUCUCCUGGGACUUUUUCCAGUUUGGUACUGACAGGAUCCUACCUAUGUGUCCCCUGAACAAGCAAAAGUCUGCUUCUCUGAACCCCAAGAUGUUUAUUCUAAUACUUGUCUUCUUGGCUACCCUCCGGGUCUUCCAGCCAGGACUACUCCACCAUUUUAUGGAUAGUCAUUGUGGCCAAAAUUGCCACUGAUUGUUACAUCCUUGACUGUUCACUUGUUUGUAAAUGUCGUGCUUUUAUUAGCCUCGUCUGCACCUAUGAAAAACUGUUGCCAGCACAGACCAGAAAUGUUCAAUACUACUUGCACCCAACAAAAUAUCCAUGUGGUUAGAAGCUCCCACGAGCACUAAAGUACUAAAAAAAGAAACAAUGACCCAUCAUGGUUCCUGAUUUGGUGAUCUGUAGCAGAUGUCCACGAGGAUGUUCUAUUUGUUGAUCUCCUGGAUCAAAAGACUUUUACUCAUUGACUAUGAACAGUCAUGCCACCCAUCGCAUAGAAUUCAGCAUUUGAGCCACUUUUUUGCACAGAGUAUACUUGCCCAACUUGUCUACCCUGACUGAUCUUCCUAAAGAGUUUCUAUCCAUCCAGCACUCCAGUUGUGUGCUGACUCACACUGUAUCUCUGAGUUUCCAGGUGUGUCAUCACUCUACAUCUGCAGCCAUAUUUUUUUUCCUGUGCUGUGUGUGCAUCAGGUAUAUGAGAUGGGCUCCUGAUCAUUCUGUUUUCUCCUUGUGAUUGUAGCCCUCACUAUCUCACCUCAUGAGUUCUUCCACUCAUCACUUCUUGCUCUGUUGUCUGUAGCCUUUAACCUCCAUCACCCAAUGAAGGCAGAAGCAGCUGUAGAUUAGAGCAGAAUUGGUCCAAUUGAUUUCUUGUUGGUCAUGUUUGAACUGUCAGUAAUUUUACAUGGGAACAAGGACAUUAUUUUGAAGUAUCAAACUGAAACCUGAGGGAAAAAAAAAAGCUAUACUAUAAUCUGAAGAAGGUCAAGAAAUGGGGAAGACCUGAUCUAAAGAUGGCAAAAUAAUUGUAUCACACCACAAUUUUUUUUCUGCAGAGACCAUAACAGAAGCAGAAACGUAUCUUCAGCAAAAAAAUGUUGAUAUCUUCGCUAUUAAUAUAACAUUUGCCAUCCUCUGUAGGUAUCAUUCACAUACGAACCGUGAUACAGUAUUUGUCAAUUACUAUAUUUCCCUUGGCUUAAAUGAGGGAAGUUAGUGCAGCGGUUCUCAGAGUUUAUUCUGCUGACAAUCCGCAUAUGUCGAUGUGAGGCCACAUGGUGGAGUCAAAGCCAUGUUCUGUCUGCAGGCUGGUCCCUGUAACAGCCACGAGCAACAGUCUGGGAGAAGCUGCAUCUGUCUGUGCAGAGCUGUCCUUGCAGCCUGGUAUGAUGCUUUUGCUAUAGAUGAUCUCUACAGAGACAUUAUGUGUUGUUGAUGAUGAUUUAUUUAGAGCAAAACUCACAAACACUGCCCUCCCGCUGUUGGCAGGCCUGGAUGGAUCUGUAUUAAAAGUGAAAAGAUCCUGUGCAAAGAUUAGUGAAAAGAUCAAAUUUAACCCUCCUUUGUGCCAAACAAAAGUAAAAUAAGAACUGUUUUGGUUUGAAUCAAAUUACAAAUUAACUUUAGAAAUAAUUUUUCUUUAAGAAGCCAAAGGUAUGGAAGUAAAGAACUAGUCUGCAAAGGGUUGUGACUCAAGUCUCUGGUAUGGUUGAUGGUUUGCCCGGAGGGAGAGCCCUGAGCACUUCUGGUGAUGAGAGAGCCCCAAAUAGUUCUGUUGUCUCUGCCUGAGUGGAUCUAAACUAUUCCCUCCUAUAAUGCAGUUAAGUGCUUUAAGCACUAGCCUGUAUUCUCAGGAUGAAUGAAUGGUUAAAUGUUUCUUUAGUGGAAUAUAAAUAAUUGAUUCUUACUGCACACAUCUAUAUUUCCAACUUUGUCAUUUAAGCCUUUUCUGUAGUUCAUUUUCAAUCUCUUUCGUUUCAGGAAUACUAGAAUGAAAGAAAGAUAUCUGCUCGUGUUCAUUGUGUAUUAUCAUGAAUAAUUAAUUGUAAAUAAAACCAGUGAGGCUAAAUUUUACAUUCAAAUAUUAAUUUAACUCAUCAAGACUCCCAGUGGGCCUUAAAGAGAAACAUCAUGAAAAGUUACAGCUUUGAUCUGAGGGGAAAAAAGAUCAUAAUUUCUUAAAAGUGCUGGAAGAGAAUAGAUAGACAUUUGAAAAAGUAUGGGGGGAAAAAGGUAUGAAGAAGAUUAAAAAGGAGCUCUGAACGCAUGUACAUACAAGACAUUUCUUUCAUGUAGGUAUGUGAAAUUCAGGUUUAAAUCUUUUCUCCAUGAGCUUUUGCAACUGCUUACUCUUGUUUAAAGUAUGUUUAUAGAAGCGAUGCUUUAUUCAACAUCAGAAAAUCUCAAUAAAUUUUUAUAAAAUAAUGGAAAGUAACAAAAUCUCAGUAAAUCUCUAGUGCCAGAUAACCAUCCCUAUUGUUAAUUCCAAGCUGAUGGAUGAUUUUGAUUGUACUUUUAGAAGUAUUAUUCUAACACUGAACACUCCUCUAUGAAAUUGUAAGAAGAUUGAGUGUGCCCUAGAAAGAUAUUUUUUCCCAAUCUUUUCUGUCUUAGAUAAAAAUAUCAGUAAUAUACAUUCCAUAAUCCUAUUAUUUUUCAAAAAAACCAAAACAAUGGAGUCCCAACUCUUUGAAAGAUAUUUUGAAAGAAACUUUCACAUAAAAGAAUGAUAUUUAUUUUCUAUCUACUGUCAUUUAUAAUAAAGAUUACUGUAGUUCCUGAUGGAUUUUUCCAUCUUUAGUACAAUACUAGGGUUUUGACAAAGAGGUAAUGAUUUGUUUCACAAUGACUCAGUGUAAAAAUAAUUUUUUAUUUUACUAUUGUGAAUUAUUUAAUUCUGGACCAAACUACCUACCAGUAAUGUCUCCCGGUCUCUGGAUCGCAGUCUGGAACUGAAGUGCCUGGUGAGUGUCUCGCUUCUUCGUGAAACUACAAAUACACCAAACUUCUGGAAGUUUUAUUUGACUCUGGAUCCAGAUUUCAACAUUAGCAUGUGAGGUAUUGCCAAUAGUGAAAGGUUCCAACUCAGAACACUUCUGGGUGUAUCUCAAAGGUCACCUUUAUUGAAUGUUUUCAGAAUACCUCCCUCCCUUCUGCAGUAUCCUGAAAGAUGCCAACCGGGCUAUUAGAGCAGAAGUUGUUAGGUUCUCAGAACUAUUUUUAUCUUCUCCCAAAUAUUUUUUUUUUCUUUUUAUGACCCCCCAGAGACCUUAUAAGUAAUUUGAAAGAGAUUCCAUGGCAUAAUUAUUUUUUGGAAGUUCUGAACUAAGCAAGUAAACGAGUCUCUUCCAUUUCAGACCCUGCAGUUUUAUCCAUAUAUUUGCAUAUAUGUUUAUGUUUAUGUAUAAAAUAUAUACAACCACAUAUAGUCAAACCUUAUCACACUUAGGAUAGUCAGAAUAAAUUUUAUCCUAUUUUUUCUUUUUAAUAAAAUAUAAACUAUGUGUAUUUAUGUUAUUAGAAACAGUUAUUCCUGUCUAUUAAUGUCAAAUAAAUAUUUGUCUUUACAAAAAUCUUAUGAUGAAAGUAACAGUUUGUAACUUGUUAUAGGUAAUAAGCAGUAAACAGUGGUUGUGUUCCUAAUUUUUUUCUCUUUGAUCCCUAUCAAAAAUUAAAUGUCAUUUCAUGCUUCAACUGACUUCCCUCAAAGAACUGAAAGUCUGAUUAAAGCAAACAUGCUUAAUACAAAGUUUUUUUCAAAUUAAACUGACAAAGUUAUUACUAGAACUUGAAGAAAUUACUAUUGCUAUAUGCAAAACACAUGAAAGAUUAAAUAUUUAAGCAGUCUACUUUCUUAAAGGUUUUAGCUGUAAUAUCUGCUUUCAGAAGGAAGAGUAUUAAGUCGGCUUAAUCUUAGAUGUGACAAAAUAUAAUCCUGCUCAUUGCUUAUAUCUGAUUUUGUAUUCAGUUGGCUGAGAGAUGGUCCACCAAAAACUAUUGCCUUUCGCAGUGUUGCUCUUUGACUUUGGUCAGUCACAUAUUCCUCAGGUCAGCAAAACACUCUCACCAGACUUCCAAUUUGUAAAUUUAUAUUUCUUAUGUUUGUAAAAGGA